RNAcentral lists this long non-coding RNA (493 nucleotides) under Actinidia chinensis (golden kiwifruit). Its description in RNAcentral is "long non-coding RNA (ACHI_LNC000579)". The record is from RNAcentral. Lineage: Eukaryota; Viridiplantae; Streptophyta; Magnoliopsida; Ericales; Actinidiaceae.
UCAAGAAUUGGGCUUUCUGUUUGAUUCUAAAUAUUCUGUUUAAGGCACUGCGUAAGGCUGGACUUUAUUAUAUCGUGGAGACGGUUUGCUGCAACCCAGUGCACACCUUUGGUGGGAUAAAAUAAUGUUUCAAGGACAACGACUUUCAUAACAUGCCUUAAAGCAAGUAUUUUCAAAAUUCCUAGACAUCUAAUUCCCAAAUUUUUCAACGGAAAUUAACUGAACUAUGGAUGAUAGGGAUUAGACAUACCAUACAUGAUACUAGUCAGCAAAGGAAACAAUGAAUGAGAAAUAUCGCGAGAGCCACUAAAUUAGACAAUAUGAUGCGCAAAGAGCAAUCCGUGAAAUGUCUUUAAUGUUCUGCUCCAGUAAAAACAUAUGAAUAAUGGUUAAGAAUUUUAAAACUUCAAUAAUAUAAACCAAUGGUCAAAACUCGACUUAAAAGCAAACCCUUUAAACUUUAAAUUUAAUUUUUAAUCCAAAUAAAUUAAGC